Molecule: ribosomal RNA, 507 nt
Filed under: uncultured Glomus
Lineage: Eukaryota; Fungi; Glomeromycota; Glomeromycetes; Glomerales; Glomeraceae
Description: SSU rRNA
Rfam family: Eukaryotic small subunit ribosomal RNA
Source: RNAcentral
UAAUUCCAGCUCCAAUAGCGUAUAUUAAAGUUGUUGCAGUUAAAAGCUCGUAGUUGAAUUUCGGGAUCAGUGGUCGGUCGUGCCACUGGUAUGCACUGGCCCUACUGAUUCCUCCUUCUUGAAGAACUGUAAUGUCAUUAAUUUGGUGUUGCAGGGAAACAGGACUGUUACUUUGAAAAAUUAGAGUGUUUAAAGCAGGCAAUCGCUUGAAUACAUUAGCAUGGAAUAAUGAAAUAGGACGUUCGAUCCUAUUUUGUUGGUUUCUAGGGUUGACGUAAUGAUUAAUAGGGAUAGUUGGGGGCAUUAGUAUUCAAUUGUCAGAGGUGAAAUUCUUGGAUUUAUUGAAGACUGACUACUGCGAAAGCAUUUGCCAAGGAUGUUUUCAUUAAUCAAGAACGAAAGUUAGGGGAUCGAAGACGAUCAGAUACCGUCGUAGUCUUAACCAUAAACUAUGCCGACUAGGGAUCGGAUGAUGUUAAUUUUUAAUGACUCAUUCGGCGCCUUACG